RNAcentral lists this ribosomal RNA (253 nucleotides) under uncultured bacterium. RNAcentral's name for it is "partial 16S ribosomal RNA". It matches the Rfam family "Bacterial small subunit ribosomal RNA", at positions 524 to 776 of the family's 1533-position model. The record is from RNAcentral.
UCCGUAGGGUGCAAGCGUUGUCCGGAAUUAUUGGGCGUAAAGAGCUCGUAGGCGGUCUGUCGCGUCGGAUGUGAAAAUCCAGGGCUCAACCCUGGACCUGCAUUCGAUACGGGCAGACUAGAGUUCGGCAGGGGAGACUGGAAUUCCUGGUGUAGCGGUGAAAUGCGCAGAUAUCAGGAAGAACACCCGUGGCGAAGGCGGCUCUCUGGGACGGUACUGACGCUGAGACGCGAAAGCGUGGGGAGCGAACAGG